UNGGAGAGGAAAGUGGAAUUCNUAGUGUAGCGGUGAAAUGCGUAGAUAUUAGGAAGAACACCAGUGGCGAAGGCGACUUUCUGGACGAAAACUGACGCUGAGGCGCGAAAGCCAGGGGAGCGAACGGGAUUAGAUACACCGGUAGUCCUGGCCGUAAACGAUGGGUACUAGGUGUAGGAGGUAUCGACNCCUUCUGUGCCGGAGUUAACGCAAUAAGUACCCCGCCUGGGGAGUACGACCGCAAGGUUGAAACUCAAAGGAAUUGACGGGGGCCCGCACAAGCGGUGGAGUAUGUGGUUUAAUUCGACGCAACGCGAAGAACCUUACCAGGUCUUGACAUUGAUGGACAGAACCAGAGAUGGUUCCUCUUCUUCGGAAGCCAGAAAACAGGUGGUGCACGGUUGUCGUCAGCUCGUGUCGUGAGAUGUUGGGUUAAGUCCCGCAACGAGCGCAACCCCUAUCUUAUGUUGCCAGCACUUCGGGUGGGAACUCAUGAGAGACUGCCGCAGACAAUGCGGAGGAAGGCGGGGAUGACGUCAAAUCAUCAUGCCCCUUAUGACCUGGGCUACACACGUACUACAAUGGGAGUUAAUAGACGGAAGCGAGAUCGCGAGAUGGAGCAAACCCGAGAAACACUCUCUCAGUUCGGAUCGUAGGCUGCAACUCGCCUACGUGAAGUCGGAAUCGCUAGUAAUCGCAGGUCAGCAUACUGCGGUGAAUACGUUCCCGGGCCUUGUACACACCGCCCGUCACACCACGAAAGUCGGAAGUGCCCAAAGCCGGUGGGGUAACCUUCGG
Molecule: ribosomal RNA, 798 nt
Filed under: uncultured bacterium
Lineage: Bacteria
Description: bacterial SSU rRNA
Rfam family: Bacterial small subunit ribosomal RNA
Source: RNAcentral